UAUAUAUCGGGGGCAGUGUCCCUCAUAUUUC
Molecule: regulatory RNA element, 31 nt
Organism: Astyanax mexicanus (Mexican tetra)
Lineage: Eukaryota; Metazoa; Chordata; Actinopteri; Characiformes; Acestrorhamphidae
Rfam family: Iron response element II
About the family: IRE, TFRC, SLC40A1, SDHB, SLC11A2, CDC42BPA, ACO2, ALAS2_H.SAPIENS, CDC14A, EPAS1, ALAS2, qoxD, Hao1, NDUFS1, transferrin, Aconitate.
Source: Rfam